RNAcentral lists this transfer RNA (72 nucleotides) under Camelus bactrianus (Bactrian camel). It matches the Rfam family "tRNA". From Rfam's summary of the family: Transfer RNA (tRNA) molecules are approximately 80 nucleotides in length. Their secondary structure includes four short double-helical elements and three loops (D, anti-codon, and T loops). Lineage: Eukaryota; Metazoa; Chordata; Mammalia; Artiodactyla; Camelidae. The record is from Rfam by way of RNAcentral. RNAcentral also lists the same sequence under 2 other names.
GAGGGUAUGGCUCAGGGGCAGAGCACGUGCUUAGCAAGCAUGAGGUUCUGGGUUCAAUCCCCAGUACCUCCA